GAGUAACGCGUGGGAAACCUGCCCCUGAGUUGGGGAUAACACUCCUAACGGAGUGCUAAUACCGAAUAACACGAUCGGAUCUCAUGGCUUGGUCGUCAAAGCUGGCCUCUGCAUGCAAGCUGGCGCUUGGGGAGGGUCCCGCGUCCAUUAGCUUGUUGGUGGGGUAACGGCUCACCAAGGCGACGAUGGGUAGCUGGUCUGAGAGGAUGGUCAGCCACACUGGGACUGAGAUACGGCCCAGACUCCUACGGGAGGCAGCAGUCGAGAGGCUUCGUCAAUGGGGGAAACCCUGAACGAGCGACGCCGUGUGGGCGAUGAAGGCCGGAAGGUCGUAAAGCCCUGUCGGAGGGAAAGAACCGCCGGGACGUAAACAGCGUCUCGGUCCGACGUUACCCUUAAAGGAAGCUCGGCUAACUCCGUGCCAGCAGCCGCGGUAAUACGGGGGGAGCUAACGUUGUUCGGAAUCACUGGGCGUAAAGGGCGCGCAGGCGGUCUGGUAAGUGAGACGUGAAAUCCCUCGGCUCAACCGAGGAACUGCGUCUCAUACUGCCGGGCUUGAGGGCGGGAGAGGAAACGGGAAUUCCCGGUGUAGCGGUGAAAUGCACUGAUAUCGGGAGGAACACCUGUGGCGAAGGCGCGUUUCUGGCCCGCUUCUGACGCUCAGGCGCGAAAGCUGGGGGAGCAAACAGGAUUAGAUACCCUGUAAGUCCCAGCUGUAAACGGUGGGCAUCUAGUGUGUGGGAGGCAUCGACCCCUCCCGUGCCGUAGUCUAACGCAUUAAGUGCCCCGCCUGGGGAGUACGAUCGCAAGGUUGAAACUCAAAGGAAUUGACGGGGGCCCGCACAAGCGGUGGAGCAUGUGGUUUAAUUCGAUGCAACGCGAAGAACCUUACCUGGGCUUGACAUGCACCGGACAGGUGUGGAAACACACUCUCCCUUCGGGGUCGGUGCACAGGUGCUGCAUGGCUGUCGUCAGCUCGUGUCGUGAGAUGUUGGGUUAAGUCCCGCAACGAGCGCAACCCUUGCCCUUAGUUGCCAGCACUUCGGGUGGGCACUCUAGGGGGACUGCCGCCGAUGAGGCGGAGGAAGGUGGGGAUGACGUCAAGUCCUCAUGGUCCUUAUGUCCAGGGCUACACACGUGCUACAAUGGCCGGCACAAAGGGUCGCAAUGCCGCGAGGUGGAGCCAAUCCCAAAAAGCCGUCUCAGUUCGGAUUGCAGUCU
RNAcentral lists this ribosomal RNA (1221 nucleotides) under uncultured bacterium. RNAcentral describes it as "bacterial SSU rRNA". It matches the Rfam family "Bacterial small subunit ribosomal RNA", at positions 108 to 1306 of the family's 1533-position model. The record is from RNAcentral.